CACAUGCAAGUCGAGGGGAAACGACAUCGAAAGCUUGCUUUUGAUGGGCGUCGACCGGCGCACGGGUGAGUAACGCGUAUCCAACCUGCCCACCACUUGGGGAUAACCUUGCGAAAGUAAGACUAAUUCCCAAUGAUAUCUCUAGAAGACAUCUGAAAGAGAUUAAAGAUUUAUCGGUGAUGGAUGGGGAUGCGUCUGAUUAGCUUGUUGGCGGGGUAACGGCCCACCAAGGCGACGAUCAGUAGGGGUUCUGAGAGGAAGGUCCCCCACAUUGGAACUGAGACACGGUCCAAACUCCUACGGGAGGCAGCAGUGAGGAAUAUUGGUCAAUGGACGAGAGUCUGAACCAGCCAAGUAGCGUGCAGGAAGACGGCCCUAUGGGUUGUAAACUGCUUUUAUAAGGGAAUAAAGUGAGUCUCGUGAGACUUUUUGCAUGUACCUUAUGAAUAAGGACCGGCUAAUUCCGUGCCAGCAGCCGCGGUAAUACGGAAGGUCCGGGCGUUAUCCGGAUUUAUUGGGUUUAAAGGGAGCGUAGGCCGGAGAUUAAGCGUGUUGUGAAAUGUAGACGCUCAACGUCUGCACUGCAGCGCGAACUGGUCUUCUUGAGUACGCACAACGUGGGCGGAAUUCGUGGUGUAGCGGUGAAAUGCUUAGAUAUCACGAAGAACUCCGAUUGCGAAGGCAGCUCACGGGAGCGCAACUGACGCUGAAGCUCGA
This 717-nucleotide ribosomal RNA is filed under the name uncultured bacterium. RNAcentral describes it as "bacterial SSU rRNA". It matches the Rfam family "Bacterial small subunit ribosomal RNA", at positions 52 to 756 of the family's 1533-position model. The record is from RNAcentral.